CUUUAUCAGGGUAUCUAGACUUCUCCAAGAGAUCCUCACAAUUGACUCAGCUGGAAGACUUGGGUGUUUUCUCCUUGCUGCUCUACUCAUGAUUGUGUAACUGCUGCAGGAGCUGCGUCAUCACAGAUCAAGGCUUUGAGACAAAACAGCAAAUUAACUUGCAUUUAAAGAACUAUUGCACAAGUAGAUACAGCAUGUACCAAGGAGAAAAAUAAAACCAGGGAGGAUGGCAAGGGAAGAUAAUGGCGUCUGCCUGCCUGAUGCUGGGAAGUUCAGAGGACUGCAGCUGCAGUGCAUCUGUACUUAAGGAGAAUCAGCAGAAGACAGCGUUUUGAAAGGCAGCAACAGAAAUACAAAACAGUUGAGCUGCCCAUCUGAAGGUGGGUACCAUGAGGAAAAGAGCCAGGCAGUCGUUGGUGCAUAAGAGCAAAAAGAUAACAUCAAUGCUAUUUGGAAACUGGUGAGAUUUGAUCAUUUGAUGGCAGGUAAAGUAAAUACUGUAGGACGCUAUGAAGAGUACUGUAGGCCAUGUAUUAAGCAAUUAAAAAAUACCAAUACUAAAUUGGUUUUUCCUUUAUAAUGCAAUCUGAACUCUUGGUGGAAUACCUUUUGUUGUUAGGUGGUUUGCCAUUUUAAGCUCUAUUCUAGAUGUACAUAUUAAUAGUUUGAUUCCUUGUGAAUUGUGUAUUUGUGUAUCAGUACGUAAGUACUGAUU
Long non-coding RNA from Pezoporus occidentalis (night parrot), 715 nucleotides. RefSeq lists it as uncharacterized. The record is from RefSeq and is a predicted model, not a curated record. Lineage: Eukaryota; Metazoa; Chordata; Aves; Psittaciformes; Psittacidae. The transcript is spliced from 4 exons.